CCCCGGCCCGCCCCCCGAACCCCGCGGCUCGGGUCAGGUAGGAGAGGGUGGAACACCCGGUGUAGCGGUGGAAUGCGCAGAUAUCGGGUGGAACACCGGUGGCGAAGGCGGCCCUCUGGGCCGAGACCGACGCUGAGGCGCGAAAGCUGGGGGAGCGAACA
RNAcentral lists this ribosomal RNA (161 nucleotides) under uncultured bacterium. RNAcentral's name for it is "partial 16S ribosomal RNA". It matches the Rfam family "Bacterial small subunit ribosomal RNA", at positions 614 to 774 of the family's 1533-position model. The record is from RNAcentral.